Molecule: long non-coding RNA, 884 nt
Filed under: Nicotiana benthamiana
Lineage: Eukaryota; Viridiplantae; Streptophyta; Magnoliopsida; Solanales; Solanaceae
Description: long non-coding RNA (NBEN_LNC017949)
Source: RNAcentral
CAUUAAAGAAACAAAAUUAGUUGACCAGACGAUCAAAUAAUAUGCUUCCAAUUUCUUGUCUUUUAUUUCCUUUUCUAAUUCCAUCGUUGUGGUUCUAUUCCUCUCUUUCCUUUUUAUUUGGCAGGGGAAGGGGGUGAUGGUUUCCCAGAAUCAGUCAAAAUUAAGUUUCCUGCGAGCAAUCAGACAGAACUACAAUUACAAAUUGCAGCAGUCAAAAUCCUCCCAGUCAUACCCCCAGGGAUUUUCGAUUCUCACUGUAUGUGGAUACGCAUGUAUUGCCUUUAGUUAUACACGAACCAAGGAAUUGAAUCUUUCUAGAGACGUAUAUAUUAGAUGUAAGCUUUUGUUUGCACUCAAAUUUAACAGGUAUUAUUACUACCUUGUGGUUUUGGUUGAGAGACGGGACGUCUUUGAGCAGCUUGAAUAUUUGCCAGAGAAGGAGAUGGUUUUGGCUCUUCUUGUGGCUCAAUGUCAUCCCAACCAUCUUUGUCACUGCCAUUACCCUCGUGAAUUCCAUUUUCAAGUUCUCCCCAUCCAUCAGUUGACGUUGGGGAUACAGGUACAGGAUGAUCUGCCACAUCUGCUCCUACUCUUAUAUGGACCCUACCCUCAUGAAUUCCAUUUUCAAGUUCUCCCCAUCCAUCAGUUGACGUUGGGGAUACAGGUACAGGAUGAUCUGCCACAUCUGCUCCUGCUCUUAUACGGACUGGUGUUAUACUCGAACUAUCUGCAACUAUGUGAUUUGGAAAAUCAAUAUCAAUAGCAAUUCCAGAGAUAAAGGCAUCAUCAUAUGCAUAAAACUCAUUUUUGAAAUAAGCAAUGUGACAAUAAUCUUGGUUAUCCACCAAGGGCAGUAGCAUUAUUAAAAGAAAUUGGCAAGAGGA